GAUGGCAGUAGGUUAUCAGAACUUAUUAACAUUAGUGUCACUAAAGUUGGUAUACCACCCCCCUACUGCUAAAUUU
RNAcentral lists this small RNA (76 nucleotides) under Cavia aperea (Brazilian guinea pig). Its description in RNAcentral is "Y RNA (ENSCAPG00000004282.1)". Lineage: Eukaryota; Metazoa; Chordata; Mammalia; Rodentia; Caviidae. The record is from RNAcentral.